RNAcentral lists this ribosomal RNA (484 nucleotides) under uncultured bacterium. RNAcentral describes it as "partial 16S ribosomal RNA". It matches the Rfam family "Bacterial small subunit ribosomal RNA", at positions 30 to 507 of the family's 1533-position model. The record is from RNAcentral.
AUUGAACGCUGGCGGCAGGCCUAACACAUGCAAGUCGAGCGGAUGAAGGGAGCUUGCUCCUGGAUUCAGCGGCGGACGGGUGAGUAAUGCCUAGGAAUCUGCCUGGUCGUGGGGGAUAACGUCCGGAAACGGGCGCUAAUCCCGCAUCCGUCCUGAGGGAGAAAGUGGGGGAUCUUCGGACCUCACGCUAUCAGAUGAGCCUAGGUCGGAUUAGCUAGUUGGUGGGGUAAAGGCCUACCAAGGCGACGAUCCGUAACUGGUCUGAGAGGCUGAUCAGUCACACUGGAACUGAGACACGGUCCAGACUCCUACGGGAGGCAGCAGUGGGGAAUAUUGGACAAUGGGCGAAAGCCUGAUCCAGCCAUGCCGCGUGUGUGAAGAAGGUCUUCGGAUUGUAAAGCACUUUAAGUUGGGAGGAAGGGCAGUAAGUUAAUACCUUGCUGUUUUGACGUUACCAACAGAAUAAGCACCGGCUAACUUCGUG